ACGAACGCUGGCGGCGUGCUUAACACAUGCAAGUCGAACGGAAAGGCCCUGCUUUUGUGGGGUGCUCGAGUGGCGAACGGGUGAGUAACACGUGAGUAACCUGCCCUUGACUUUGGGAUAACUUCAGGAAACUGGGGCUAAUACCGGAUAGGAGCUCCUGCUGCAUGGUGGGGGUUGGAAAGUUUCGGCGGUUGGGGAUGGACUCGCGGCUUAUCAGCUUGUUGGUGGGGUAGUGGCUUACCAAGGCUUUGACGGGUAGCCGGCCUGAGAGGGUGACCGGCCACAUUGGGACUGAGAUACGGCCCAGACUCCUACGGGAGGCAGCAGUGGGGAAUAUUGCACAAUGGGCGGAAGCCUGAUGCAGCAACGCCGCGUGCGGGAUGACGGCCUUCGGGUUGUAAACCGCUUUCGCCUGUGACGAAGCGUGAUUGACGGUAAUGGGUAAAGAAGCACCGGCUAACUACGUG
Molecule: ribosomal RNA, 467 nt
Filed under: uncultured bacterium
Lineage: Bacteria
Description: partial 16S ribosomal RNA
Rfam family: Bacterial small subunit ribosomal RNA
Source: RNAcentral